Molecule: ribosomal RNA, 708 nt
Filed under: Triticum aestivum (bread wheat)
Lineage: Eukaryota; Viridiplantae; Streptophyta; Magnoliopsida; Poales; Poaceae
Description: partial small subunit ribosomal RNA
Source: RNAcentral
AUGGAGCCGGAGGACACGUUUCAUGCCUUUUGCAGGUGCCCGAGGGCGGUGGCGUUAUGGCAAGCUAUGGCUGAGAGAUGGAGGAUUCCAACUGCGUCGUCAUUCCAGAGGACGGGCUCGGAGUGGCUCGCCCAAACUCUUUGCGACCUUCCUAACACGGAGAGGAUGGAACUCAUGAUGACUCUAUGGCGCUGCUGGCACGUACGAAACGAGAUGACACACCACAAGAAGCCGCCCCCGGUCGAAGCAUCCAAAAGGUUCCUCCUCAGCUAUGUCGACUCACUUGUGGGCAUACAAAAUAACCCAAGUGCACAUCCACUGAAGGGCAAGCAAGUGAUCGAUGCAGUGGUGCUGACCAAACCCACAUCACAUGCUCCUGUUGCAGCUGGGCCGCAACCUCGAUGGACACUUCCACCUGCAGGCUGGACAAAACUCAACGUCGACGGCUCGUUCUGUGCAUCUACCAGUACGGCUGGAGCGGGAGAAGAGAGAGAUCGGUCCUGUUACUCCAUGCUUGCGGACCAGACUAAGAGGCUCAUGGGAGAAGGGAGAUUAGUUAAGCUAGUGCAUGUACGUAGAGAACAGAAUGGCAUAAGCCAUUACCUUACUUCCUUUGGUAGAACUGAAUGCACCGUCGUGUGGCUGGGUUUAGGUCCAGGUGAUAUCCCUGACCAUUGUAAGAAGAACGGGCUCCUAAGUGAUCAAUAA